Molecule: long non-coding RNA, 476 nt
Organism: Sitophilus oryzae (rice weevil)
Lineage: Eukaryota; Metazoa; Arthropoda; Insecta; Coleoptera; Curculionidae
Exons: 3
Source: RefSeq, a predicted model, not a curated record
GUUUUCGAAUUGAAAAUAUCCAGAAACCACGGCAAAAAUAGCCACCGCGAGAGUCCUGCUCGAGUCAUUCGAAUUUCUGCAGCAUACACGAUUCAUCUUCUACAGUGAGUGGUUGUGCUUGAUCACAAACUUUUAAAGUAAAUUAUAAAUCAAAAUGCCACCACACGCCAGCGAAGGAAAAAGCUUAAUAACCACCUACCUUAUCCUCAUAGCGCUCCUGUUAGUCUUAUGGGGCUUAUAUGCGGGAAUGUUUUAACUGAAUGUUCGUUACCUAGACACAUGGAUCAUCUUCGUUCAUCGUCAUAAUCUGCGUCAUACAACAUAGACAGUCCCCAUUUGUAAUAUACAAAAUACCUACUACUGUUUGUCAUCUCACCAAUCAUUGUAAUUUGUAUUUUUAUAAGUAUUAAGACAUUUUUAGAUAAGACUAAUUAUUGAUAAUGUUAAGUUAAAUAAAAUAAAUUUAUUUCUUUUAA